RNAcentral lists this ribosomal RNA (246 nucleotides) under uncultured bacterium. Its description in RNAcentral is "partial 16S ribosomal RNA". It matches the Rfam family "Bacterial small subunit ribosomal RNA", at positions 524 to 769 of the family's 1533-position model. The record is from RNAcentral.
UACGAAGGGGGCUAGCGUUGCUCGGAAUUACUGGGCGUAAAGGGCGCGUAGGCGGCACUGUUAGUCAGGCGUGAAAGCCCUGGGCUCAACCUGGGAACUGCGCUUGAUACGGCAGAGCUAGAGGAUGGAAGAGGGUCGCGGAAUUCCCAGUGUAGAGGUGAAAUUCGUAGAUAUUGGGAAGAACACCGGUGGCGAAGGCGGCGACCUGGUCCAUUACUGACGCUGAGGCGCGACAGCGUGGGGAGC